AGAGUUUGAUCAUGGCUCAGGACGAACGCUGGCGGCGUGCUUAACACAUGCAAGUCGCGCGAUUCUCGAAGUUCGGGGUUGGGAGUUCGAACCUCGAACUUCGAACCUCGAACUUCGAGAAUAGCGGCGGACGGGUGAGUAACACGUGGAUAACCUACCCAUUAGACCAGGAUAACACCGGGAAACUGGUGCUAAUACCGGAUAAGCUCUUUAGAGUAAAAGCCUUAAAGAGGAAAGGGGAAACUCACUAAUGGAUGGGUCCGCGUCCUAUUAGCUAGUUGGUAGGGUAACGGCCUACCAAGGCGACGAUGGGUAGCCGGCCUGAGAGGGUGACCGGCCACACUGGGACUGAGACACGGCCCAGACUCCUACGGGAGGCAGCAGUGGGGAAUAUUCCGCAAUGGGGGAAACCCUGACGGAGCAAUGCCGCGUGAGUGAAGAAGGCCUUUGGGUCGUAAAACUCUGUCUUGAGGGACGAAAAAAAUGACGGUACCUCAAAAGAAAGCCCCGGCUAACUACGUGCCAGCAGCCGCGGUAAAACGUAGGGGGCGAGCGUUGUCCGGAAUUACUGGGCGUAAAGGGCGUGUAGGCGGCCUGUGUAGUCAAGUGGUGAAAACCCGGGGCUUAACUUCGGGAUGGCCCUUGAAACCGACAGGCUUGAGGACAGGAGAGGGGAGUGGAAUUUCCGGUGUAGCGGUGAAAUGCGUAGAUACCGGAAGGAACACCAGUGGCGAAGGCGGCUCCCUGGACUGGUCCUGACGCUGAGGCGCGAAAGCGUGGGGAGCAACAGGAUAGAUACCCUGGUA
This 806-nucleotide ribosomal RNA is filed under the name bacterium enrichment culture clone IsoM-68. Its description in RNAcentral is "bacterial SSU rRNA". It matches the Rfam family "Bacterial small subunit ribosomal RNA", at positions 8 to 792 of the family's 1533-position model. The record is from RNAcentral.